UUCCUGGCUCUUUAUCAACCAGGGAAUCAGAAAGGGACUUUCCAGAGCUAUAAACAUGUGAGCUGAAUAGAUGGAAUGAACCCGUAUGCAAAUGAGUUUUGAUUCCCUUCCCUUUAUAAAGUUAAAAUGUUUUUGAGAGAGAAACAGAUCCUCCAGAAUGUGGGUGUCCGAGAUUGUUACCUUGGACUGGCUGUAUCUCUCUCCCUGCUGUCUGUCUGUCUGCCUGCCUGCCUUUCUGCCUGUCUUUCCAUUGUAGAGAACAAAGCGGAGUGAUGUAAAAUAGAAAAUGAGAAAUGCAAACCUGUGGUGAUUGAAGAGGAGGAAGGAAAAUGAAAGAGAAAAAGCUGAAGAGUGGGAAAAAGAUAAAAUAAAAUGAAUUUUGGGGAUUCCACUCUUUUCAGGUAUCUGCACUCCAUCUGAAUUUGCUUCAGGAGCAGGGCUUCACAGAUGACAUCUGAAACAUAUGGAUUGACCAGUCAUUUUGAGCUCGCUCCGUUCCACUACAUUUAUCAGGAAUUGGUUCAGAUGAACAGUUCAUCUCACCACCCUGCCUGCCUUUUCACAGGCUGGGAGACAGCGUGCGUGUCACCUCCAGCAUCUGCCGUGGUUACAGUGAUCUGAGAUCCUGACCAAGGGAGAAAGCAUUGCUGGGUUAGGAGACAGCUCCGUAUCCAAAGAGUGUCUGUGUAGUUGCUGGGCUGAAGGCAUUACGCACUUGAUGCAUUCAUCAUCUUGAAGGGUUCAGGAGAAGGAAUUACCUACAGGCAGUUCCUCAUCUGACAUUGCCGCUGGUCU
Long non-coding RNA from Grus americana (Whooping crane), 795 nucleotides. RefSeq lists it as uncharacterized. The transcript is spliced from 4 exons. NCBI's taxonomy places the organism in Eukaryota, Metazoa, Chordata, Aves, Gruiformes, Gruidae. The record is from RefSeq and is a predicted model, not a curated record.